GACGAACGCUGGCGGCGUGCUUAACACAUGCAAGUCGAACGAAGAGCGAUGGAAGCUUGCUUCUAUCAAUCUUAGUGGCGAACGGGUGAGUAACGCGUAAUCAACCUGCCCUUCAGAGGGGGACAACAGUUGGAAACGACUGCUAAUACCGCAUACGAUCUAAACUCGGCAUCGAGGAUAGAUGAAAGGUGGCCUCUACAUGUAAGCUAUCACUGAAGGAGGGGAUUGCGGCUGAUUAGCUAGUUGGAGGGGUAACGGGCCACCAAGGCGAUGAUCAGUAGCCGGUCUGAGAGGAUGAACGGCCACAUUGGGACUGAGACACGGCCCAGACUCCUACGGGAGGCAGCAGUGGGGAAUCUUCCGCAAUGGACGAAAGUCUGACGGAGCAACGCCGCGUGAGUGAUGACGGCCUUCGGGUUGUAAAGCUCUGUUAAUCGGGACGAAAGGCCUUCUUGCGAAUAGUGAGAAGGAUUGACGGUACCGGAAUAGAAAGCCACGGCUAACUACGUG
Molecule: ribosomal RNA, 510 nt
Filed under: uncultured bacterium
Lineage: Bacteria
Description: partial 16S ribosomal RNA
Rfam family: Bacterial small subunit ribosomal RNA
Source: RNAcentral